Molecule: long non-coding RNA, 764 nt
Organism: Xiphophorus couchianus (Monterrey platyfish)
Lineage: Eukaryota; Metazoa; Chordata; Actinopteri; Cyprinodontiformes; Poeciliidae
Exons: 2
Source: RefSeq, a predicted model, not a curated record
UUACGACGGAGCUACUUCUUUUCCUCAGCACCCGACGACCGGUCAAACGAGGCGGGGAAGCAGCGGAACCGAUCCUCCUCGCGCGGUCCCAGCAGCCGUUGUAACGGUAACGGCUGCUGCCUCCAACUGGGAUGGCACUGAGCUCCUCUCACACGCCAGCUUUUCCAACCGGCCGUUCUCUCCUCCCACUUUUCCUCCACCUUCUCCUCCUCUACUUUUCCUCUCCAGGCUUUCUCUUCUCCUCUCCCUCCGAGGCACGCGUGAUGAAUAAUGAAAGGCUCGCGAGGUCCCAGGAGUGUUUUCUGUCCCGUUUUCUUUUUUUCAGAGCGCGAGCCGAAUACAAUGAGGCCGACCCGCGUGGAUCAAGUUACCGCCGUCCUGCCUUUCAUUCAUUCAUUUAUUCAGCCGCUAAGCAGUCUGACUGCAGCCCUGUCCAGCUUCACCUCCCUCUCUUCUUCUUGCAAAUGCGCUUAGUGUAUUAACAUGGUAUGACAUAGAAGCCCACUCCCAAAGCCACUCUUCAAAAUUGGAAAGACAAAAGAACAGACUUUUCAAGCGAGGUGGUGACAAAAAAUCAACUGGACCGAACUUUGUCAAGUCAAGAAAGAGCAAAAGUUAAAGAGGAUAAAACAACUGUAAUGGAGAAUUGGGUCAAAGACUGGCAUCUUGGGGUCACCAAAUCUUCAUACCAACCAGAAGAUGCCAUGUAUUUGACAGCUGAUUGUUUGGGUGAUGCAAAUAAAAUUACCUUUUCUAUCCCACCA